Molecule: long non-coding RNA, 3747 nt
Organism: Alligator mississippiensis (American alligator)
Lineage: Eukaryota; Metazoa; Chordata; Crocodylia; Alligatoridae
Exons: 4
Source: RefSeq, a predicted model, not a curated record
GCGAACUCACCUGGAAACAGAAACAAACCCAAGCCGCAUCCAUUUCGCCUUGCGUGUCUUUGGAACUUGAUGUGAAAGGAGACUUUCAUUUUAAGCCAUAAGUUCAUUUCAACUCAGCAAUAAGGCACUGAGCAGUCACACACUUCUAAGAAAUUAUGCGGCACCUCAGAAACGCCAGGGACUGUUUGCUUGAGAAAAACUGCUUCUGAAACCACACGGCUUAGAUUUCCUUCACUUGCUAGAAUGAUAUGGGCAGAACAAAUUGCCUGCAAAUUGCAUGGUGUUACAGCCCAGACUGUGACACUGCUGCCAGGCUGCUUGUUAAAGACAGGAUUGACCCCAGCAUACCUGUGGCAGCCGCCUCGAAGAAUCAUCUGGGUCUCAGAGGCCCCGUUUACUGGUCUGGACAAACAUCUGCUUUGAGGAGACACUAAACUUCUUGCAAGAUUUCCCACAAGAAAGGCUAAAACCUAAAAACUAAGGCCAAGUUCUGGCCUUACUCCAGCAGCAUUUGGGGAUAUGAAUGAAAUGCAACAGCCCCAGGGAGGACCAUUCAUAUGCAGGCCCUGCUGAACCCCCAGGGAGCUCCCAGUCCAGAGUUGUGGUUGGACUAAAGGGGAAGGACGAGGUCUUGUCUUGAAUUGAUGACCAAUGAGUGAGCCAAAGGCCCAGAUCCAAACAUCCAUGCGAGGGCCAGGGAAAUUAACACAAAACUAAGAAACUUGGAGUAGGAACUAGAGGAAAGGCUGGACAGAAACCAGGUGAGGAGCUGGAUGCAAUACUGAGUUAAGGUCUAGGAAAGACAUAUUGAGCAACUGCUUCCCCAUAAUCUGCUCAUUUAUUUUAUGGCUGACUCUCAAGGGGCCUGCAAGGCAUGGCUGAGAUCUCACAGGGAGUUUUACAAAUAUACACUUGAUCUGAGCCUACAAGAGUCUUGGAAGCCCACAGGAGGCUACCCAGGGUUACAGCAAUUCCAAGGGCAGUUCUCACACACCAGGAGUCAUAUCAGCUCCCAGAACAGACAGAAUCCAGGAGGAAUGAAGAAACCUUAAAGUCAUCUUUAUCUUGGACUGCUGUGAACAACAGUGGCACUCAUACCUUGGCCUCCAGAACCACAUGAAAGCAGGGACUCCAGCAAGAUACCAUGCCAACCAGCUGGUGAACUCAGAACUCAAAGCACAUGUGAAGCUCCAGCAGAGACCUCACUUGCAUCCAGGAUCACGAUGAGGGUGGCAGUCCCCUUGCUGUGUGAUCCAGGAUCUAUACAUGUAUAUACGCACCCAUACUCACAGCUACGUAACUCUUUCAGAGGCAUUGCUUUCAAUUCAUACAUGACCUAAUAUGCAACCACCUUCCAAUCCCAAUCCCACUGUAACUCCCAUGGAGAAACAACAGGCAAAGCAUGUCUGUCAGUUCACAAGGGAGUCAGGCCUACUGGGUGGUGCCAGAAGUGAGGACUGGUGGGGAUGCACAGAUAACCUGUGGGUUGGGAGUAACCAAGGUCAACCCAAGCUCCAAACAGAGUUGCGGGGACCAAAGCUCAGAGUCCAAAACUGAACCAAAGGACAAACCAGAGAUCAGAGGUCAGGAAGCAGGCUGAGGUCAAACCAAAGUCCAAAACACCAAGCCAAAGGGUUAACCAAGAAUCAGACACCAGGAAGCAAGCCAAGAUCAAACUGAAUUCCAAACACGGAGCCAGAGGGUUAACCAGGAAUCAAGGGGUCAGAGGAAGAGUUACCAGCACUGGAGACACACAAGGAUUGGAGACCUAGUGGAUGCAGACAACCAUACAGAUAUCUCCGAUACAUUUCUUAAGGAAGCUUCUGACCUGGAGUGAACUCUCACUGAAUGAGGUUGCAAAGAAACUUGGUGAUGCCUGGUGGUGGACACAGAGGUUCAACAUAGCUCAGAAUCCAUCCAGAAGCAGAGAAGCCUUUGCUGAGGUUGUGUCUUGGUGGGGUAUAAAAACUAUCUUUUUAUAAUUUACUAAUAAGCCUAAGGGAUGAAACCUCAGAUGUUCCUGAGAUUUUCAUGCAUGUACUACAUUAAGUGACCUUGCAUCAGCUCCUUGCCCAAACACAGAAACCCUCAGAGACCCAAUCUUUUGACGUAAGGAACUAUAAUUGACAGGUACCUUAUGAACACACAGCUGUUGCAAAUCCAAAGGGAAGGAAGUGAUAUUGAUAAUGACAACUGCUUAUUAUGAAGCACAGGAGGAAUCUGUGGGCAGGAUGAAUGGCAAUAUGAAAAUAGGCAUCCUAAAGGUUGAAAGCAGCAGGCCACCCCUUUGGAUAUAGGGAUGGAAUGAUUAGUGGUAGAGACACUGUUCUGAACUUGGUGGUUCUGAAGUAAGCCUUCAAUUUUUUGCAAUGAAUACUUCCCGUCUUCUUUGGGAUAAAGAAUUAUCUGAAAUAAAACCCUCUCCCCUUUGAUAAUAUACCUUUUCUAUUACACCAAGAUUUAUGAAAGAUUUUGCUUCUAGUUUUAAUGUCCUCCAGUGAAAGGGGUCCCUCAAUGAGGAUGGGGAAAGGGAAUUAGGAGGUAAAGAAUGGAAUUGUAUCUUGUAGUGGCCUGUCAGAGGGUCCCCCAGUCACUCACUCACGUAAAUUAGGGUGGAUCAGGCAUGCUGGAAAAUGAGCUAACCCAUGGCCAAAGGAAGGGAAAAUAAUAGGGACAUCUGAAGCUAAAAGGGAGGCUGCUCUGUCUGAGGAGGAAGGAGGUAGCUGGAAAGCAGUGGAAGUUGUUGUAGAAUUUCUCCUUUUGGAAGUCUUUCAUCUUUUAUUCAAAGGCUUUGGUGGCCUAUGCUGGUGAUAUGAAGGCUGUCUGUGGUAUCCUUGAGAUCUAACAUGUUUUCACUCUGGGCCUAAGACAAAGACCCCUAAAGAUUUAAGACUUAUUUUUCAGUCCAUAAAAGAUCUUAAAACAUUAUCCAUUUUGUCACAAAACAGGUCACAGCCUUUGAACAGUAAAUCCCCUCUUGUUUGCAGUUUGUUGGGAAUACUAGAUAUAGCCAAGAGGAGCAAUGUGUAGUAACAGGGGUGGCCAUCACCAGACGGUUAUAGAGAAGUUUUGGAUAGCAACUGACCUUCAGCUAAAAUAGAUUUAAACUAAUCCCUGAACUCUGUUGGUAUCAUCUCAAAGUAAGGUAUGGCUGGUUUAUAUGGUCAUCUUUUGCUAGCAGCACUAGUGAAUAGCAGCAUUUGAAACCCAGAGAUUUCUGAUGUAACAGGAAGUCAGUACUGAAACAAAACUGUUUACAGAAUUAUAAACAUAAAGAUAAAAUGAAAUGGUCCUAGCCUAAACAACCUGGGCCCCAUAUACCCAAGGAACCAGUUUCUCUGUAAGAUCCCCAAGAUCAGCUGGGAGCAUUCUCUUAUUAGUAGCAUCAGUGAACCAAGCUCACUUGGCAAAAACACAUGGGAGGUCAUUCUCAGUAGUUGCUCUUCAGCUCUGGAACACCCUCCCCUUUGAGGCCCACCAGAGCCUGAUUCUGGACAUCUUCCAAAAAUGCUGUAAGUCCUUCCUCUUUGGACAGGCACUUGGCAAAGCCAGGCUCAGCUGCAAUACUGUUGAAGAAGCUUUUGUUUUGUAUUCUAUUCUAUCCGCUUUUAUUCUGCUUCUUACCGUAAACUGCCCUGAGUUAUACAUAAAGUGAAUAAAUAAAUAAAUAAAUAAGAAACCUGGAAGUUUUAUUAAAGACUAAUUACUAACUAAGAGGAAUUAACUAUACGAAGGAUAACAGUGAUG